Molecule: ribosomal RNA, 444 nt
Filed under: uncultured prokaryote
Description: bacterial SSU rRNA
Rfam family: Bacterial small subunit ribosomal RNA
Source: RNAcentral
UUUCGAAUCAUUCACAAUGGGCGAAAGCCUGAUGGUGCAACGCCGCGUGGGGGAUGAAGGCCUUCGGGUCGUAAACCUCUGUCACCAAGGAACAACAACCAGGUUCAUAGCCUGGCCUGAGUUUACUUGGAGAGGAAGCAGUGGCUAACUCCGUGCCAGCAGCCGCGGUAAUACGGAGACUGCGAGCGUUACUCGGAAUCACUGGGCGUAAAGGGUGCGUAGGCGGCCAGGUAUGUCAGAUGUGAAAUUUCAAGGCUUAACCUUGAAGCUGCAUUUGAAACUACCUGGCUAGAGGCUUGGAGAGGUAAGCGGAAUUCCAGGUGUAGUGGUGAAAUACGUAGAUAUCUGGAAGAACACCCAUGGCGAAGGCAGCUUACUGGACAAGUACUGACGCUGAGGUACGAAAGCGUGGGGAGCGAAAGGGAUUAGAUACCCCCGUAGUCC